RNAcentral lists this ribosomal RNA (301 nucleotides) under uncultured bacterium. RNAcentral's name for it is "partial 16S ribosomal RNA". It matches the Rfam family "Bacterial small subunit ribosomal RNA", at positions 509 to 807 of the family's 1533-position model. The record is from RNAcentral.
CAGCCGCCACGGGAAUACGUAGGGUGCGAGCGUUAAUCGGAAUUACUGGGCGUAAAGCGUGCGCAGGCGGUCCGUUAAGACAGAUGUGAAAUCCCCGGGCUUAACCUGGGAACUGCAUUUGUGACUGGCGAGCUAGAGUAUGGCAGAGGGAGGUAGAAUUCCACGUGUAGCAGUGAAAUGCGUAGAGAUGUGGAGGAAUGCCGAUGGCGAAGGCAGCCCACUGGGCCAAUACUGACGCUCAUGCACGAAAGCGUGGGGAGCAAACAGGAUUAGAUACCCCAGUAGUCCCUGUCUCUUAUAC